This is an RNA transcript of Piliocolobus tephrosceles (Ugandan red Colobus), 1364 nucleotides long. It is a transcript of the gene named plakophilin-4 pseudogene, with no coding region annotated. The transcript has a single exon. NCBI's taxonomy places the organism in Eukaryota, Metazoa, Chordata, Mammalia, Primates, Cercopithecidae. The record is from RefSeq and is a predicted model, not a curated record.
CAGGAGGUCUUUGAAAUUUAUCCUCAUGUGAUGCUGUAAAAAUGACAAUUAUUCAUGAUGCUCUCUCAACCUUAACAAACUCUGUGAUCAUUCCACAUUCUGGAUGGAAUAACUCUUCAUGAUGGCCAUAAAAUUAAAUUUCAGACUUCACUAGUUCUGUGUAAUAUGACAGGUUGCCUGAGGAACCUCAGUUGCAUGGGGUAAGAAGCUCAGAAGCAAAAGCAGUCCUGAGAGGGGCUAGUGGACUCGCUGUUGUAUGUGAUCUACACGUGUAUGAAUACAUCUGAUUACGACAGCAAGAUAGUGAAGAAUUGCGUGUGCACCCUGAGGAACCUGUCCUAUCGGCUGGAGCUGGAGGCGCUCCAGACCUGGUUACUGGGACUGAACGAAUGUGAUGACUUACUAGAAAAAGUUUCCCAGCAAAGACUCUGAGCCAAGCUGCUGGGGGAAGAAAAAGUAAAAGAGGACUCCGCAAGAAGAUCAAUGGGAUGGAGUUGGUCCUAUCCCAGGACUGUCAAAAAGGGGUUGAGAUGCUGUGGCACCCAUCAGUGGUGAAGCUAUAUCUGACUCUUCUAGCAGAAAGUUUCAACCCAGCCACCUUGGAAGGCUCUGCCAGACCUCUCCAGAACCUCUCUGCUGGCAACUGGAAGUUUGCAGGAUACAUCGGGGUGGCUGUCUGAAAAUAAAAGGGGCUCCCCAUCCUUGUGGAACUUCUGAGAAUGGAUAACGAUAGAGUUGUUUCUUCCAUGGCAACUGCCUUGAGGAAUAUGACACUAGAUGUUCGCAACAAGGAGCUCAUAAGCAAAUACGCCAUGCGAGACCUGGUCAACCAUCUUCCCUGCAGCAAUGGUCCCAGUGUCUUAUCUGAUGAGUCCAAGGCAGCCAUCUGCUGUGCUCUGCAUGAGGUCACCAGCAAAAACAUGGAGAACACCAAAGCCCUGGCUGACUUGGGAGACAUAGAGAAGCUGGUGAACAUAACCAAAGGCAGGGGCAACAGAUCAUCUCUAAAAGUAGUGAAGGCAGCAGCCCAGGUCUUGAAUACAUUAUGGCAAUAUCAGGACCGCUGGAGCAUUUAUAAAAAUGAUGGGUGGAAUCAGAACCAUUUUAUUACACCUGUGUCGACAAUGGAGCGAGACUGAUUCAAAUCACGUCCUUCCUUGUCUACCACCAACCAAAAGACGUCACCCAUCGUUCAGUCAGGCUCCAGCAAACCUUCACCAGUUUACAUCAGUUCAUAUUCCUCACCAGCAAGAGAAUUAAAUAGACAACUACAGCAUCAACAGCUGUAUUACAGUCAAGAUGACUCCAACAAAAUAACUUUGAAUCAUACAGAUUGUAUUUGCAGUCUCCUCAUAGUUAUGAAG